CCUACGGGGGGCAGCAGUCGAGAAUCAUUCACAAUGGGGGAAACCCUGAUGGUGCGACGCCGCGUGGGGGAAUGAAGGUCUUCGGAUUGUAAACCCCUGUCAUGUGGGAGCAAAUUAAAAAGAUCGUACCACAAGAGGAAGAGACGGCUAACUCUGUGCCAGCAGCCGCGGUAAUACAGAGGUCUCAAGCGUUGUUCGGAAUCACUGGGCGUAAAGCGUGCGUAGGCUGUUUCGUAAGUCGUGUGUGAAAGGCGCGGGCUCAACCCGCGGACGGCACAUGAUACUGCGAGACUAGAGUAAGGGAGGGGGAACCGGAAUGCUCGGUGUAGCAGUGAAAUGCGUAGAUAUCGAGAGGAACACUCGUGGCGAAGGCGGGUUCCUGGACAGUAACUGACGCUGAGGCACGAAGGCCAGGGGAGCGAAAGGGAUUAGAUACCCCAGUAGUC
This 446-nucleotide ribosomal RNA is filed under the name uncultured bacterium. RNAcentral's name for it is "partial 16S ribosomal RNA". It matches the Rfam family "Bacterial small subunit ribosomal RNA", at positions 338 to 795 of the family's 1533-position model. The record is from RNAcentral.